GAUGAACGCUGGCGGCGUGCCUAAUACAUGCAAGUCGAACGCUGGAGAUCUAGCUUGCUAGAUCGAAGGAGUGGCGAACGGGUGAGUAAUACAUAAGCAACCUACCCACGAAGACUGGGAUAAUCUCUGGAAACGGGGACUAAUACCGGAUAGGUAAUCGGAAGGCAUCUUCUGGUUAUUAAAGGUUAAAAACACUGGUGGAUGGGCUUAUGGCGCAUUAGUUAGUUGGUGAGGUAACGGCCCACCAAGACGAUGAUGCGUAGCCGGCCUGAGAGGGUGAACGGCCACAUUGGGACUGAGACACGGCCCAGACUCCUACGGGAGGCAGCAGUAGGGAAUUUUCGGCAAUGGGGGCAACCCUGACCGAGCAACGCCGCGUGAGUGAAGACGGCCUUCGGGGUGUAAAGCUCUGUUGUAAGGGAAGAACGGUAGAUAGAGAAUAUCUAAGUGACGGUACCUUACCAGAAAGCCACGGCUAACUACGUG
Molecule: ribosomal RNA, 486 nt
Filed under: uncultured bacterium
Lineage: Bacteria
Description: partial 16S ribosomal RNA
Rfam family: Bacterial small subunit ribosomal RNA
Source: RNAcentral